Molecule: RNA transcript, 5615 nt
Organism: Ornithodoros turicata
Lineage: Eukaryota; Metazoa; Arthropoda; Arachnida; Ixodida; Argasidae
Gene: Prp4k
Gene name: serine/threonine-protein kinase PRP4 homolog
Exons: 22
Source: RefSeq, a predicted model, not a curated record
GCUGCCUUUACAGAAGUCUAUGGAUUUGUCUGGCUCAUGAUGCCAUGAUGCCAUUGUAGAAAGCGUAGAAACCAGCGGUGUGGCUGGUAACGUGAAAUGGCGCAAUGCGAAAGGAGUGUAUGUAGUAUGUUUUCCGUAGCAAAUGCUGAUGCAAGUGAAGGAUCAUCAGUUGAGGUGAUAGAAUGUGAGCAAAGGGAUGUUUCGAGCAAAGACAAUGAGGGCAGUGGAAAACGCAAAAAGCGUAAACAUCAUAAGCACAAGCACAAACAUCACCACAGCUCCCAAAAAGAAAAGAAUAGCCACAAGCACAAGGGGCAUUCGAGUGACAAAAGUAAAAAUCACGAUAGUGAAAAUCUUCAAGUCAGCCGGAUGAACUUGGAGGAACUGGAGCAGCAAAAAGCCAUUCUUCAGGCCAAACUCUACACCCUUGUACCAAGUGACUAUGGUAGCUCGGAAGAUGAAGUGAAAAAGCCACGGAAGGAGAAGUCAAAAUCCUCUCUAAAAAGGCAGAAGGAAAGCAACAAGAAAAGGGCUCUGUCGCCACAUAAGGAACCUAAAAGCAAAGUGGAAGAGUCCAAAAACGUCGAUAGAACAGAACAUCGAAAAGAACGUCAAGCGCCAGAGCGCAUCAGACGUACCUCUCCCGCACGUCCUGUCAGAGAAACGGAUGUACAAGAAAGACCCGAAAAGGCUCGGGAUCCUUCCAGUCCUCCUUCCAAGCACAGGCGAGAGUCAGCAUCAUCUCAUAGAAAAAGUCCAUCAAGAAGAAGCCCUACUCGACGAUCUCCACCCAGAAGAACUCCAGUAAGGAGAAGCUCACCUAAGAGAAGCCCUCCACUGAGGAGAAGUCCACCAAGGAGGAGCCCUUCCAGAAAGAGUCCACUUAGGAAGGCUUCCCCAAGGAGACUGUCUCCUAGAAGGAGUCCUCGCCGAAGCCCAUCUUCAAGACGACUUGAAUUAAGACGUUCCCCAUCCCCCCGGCGUGUAUCCGAUAGAGAUCGUCACAGGUCUCCUGUUGCACGACACACUUUGCCCAGGCACUGUUCACCACCAAAGAACAUGCGUGAACGAAGUCCUCGACCAAGAUCCCCUCUGCGGAGUCGCCAUCGAAGUCCCUUUAAAGGACGACGGUCACGUAGCCCACGCAUGAGAGACCGAGGAUCAUGCAGGAGUCGUUCACCACGUGGAUUAAGAGGCGAUGAUCGAGUUCGGGGCAGCCGUGAUGGCAGGGAUCACAAAGAUGAACGAGAUCGUUAUGGCUCGAAGAGCAGCUCCAGCAACAAGAAGAAAGGGAAAGCAUCUGUGUCGUCAUCAGAUGAAAUUGAAGAUGUGGAUAUUGAGGAUGAUGAAGACGAAGAAAAGGUAAUAGAAAGACAGCGACAACAGCGGCAGGAGCUACUAAAGAGAUUAGGUGUUGAUAACCAGGUUGAAAGCAGCACUUUCUCAUCUCCUGUGCAUUCUCGUCAUAGUGGUUCCUGCACACCAGAUUCUGUGACUAUUGAAAACAUGGUGUCUGAUAUUAAUGACGAACAGAGUGCUGAUACGACGGACUUUGAGGCAGCCAUCAUGGCAAAAAGACAAAUGAUGAUGGCUCAGGAGGCAGGUGGAGAUGGAGACACAGGACAGGAUAAGAAGCAGAAACAGUUUGACAUGUUCUCAGAGGACAUGUUUGCUGAAAAUUAUUCGAGCCCAAAUUCCAUUCAGAAGUUCUCUCUCCAUGCACAAGAUAAUCCAAACCUGACAGACAACUGGGAUGAUGCAGAGGGAUACUACCGUGUCCGCAUUGGUGAAGUACUAGACAGCCGUUACACAGUGUAUGGGUACACUGGCCAAGGUGUCUUUAGCAAUGUUGUACGGGCAAGAGAUAUGGCACGUGGGAAUCAGGAUGUUGCAGUAAAGAUAAUCAGGAAUAAUGAAGUAAUGCAUAGAACAGGCCUCAAAGAGCUUGAAAUGUUACGAAGACUGAACGAUGCUGAUCCCGACGACAAGUUCCAUUGCUUGAGACUCUACAGACACUUUUUUCAUAAGCAACAUCUCUGUCUUGUUUUUGAGCCACUGAGCAUGAACCUUCGUGAAGUAUUAAAAAAGUAUGGAAAAGAUGUUGGGCUACACAUCAAGGCUGUGCGUUCCUACAGCCAACAAUUAUUUUUUGCCCUGAAACUGCUGAAAAGAUGCAAUAUACUCCAUGCUGACAUUAAGCCGGACAACAUCUUGGUGAAUGAAACGAAAUUGCUGCUAAAACUGUGUGACUUUGGCUCAGCUUCUCAUGUUGCGGAAAAUGAUAUCACUCCAUACCUUGUGAGCCGGUUUUAUCGAGCACCUGAAAUAAUUUUAGGUUUGGGAUACGACUUCAGCAUUGACAUGUGGAGUGUUGGAUGUACUUUGUACGAGCUCUACACUGGAAAGAUAAUGUUUCCUGGGAAGUCAAACAACCAGAUGCUUAAAUUCUGCAUGGACCUCAAAGGAAAAUUUCCAAAUCGCCUAAUUCGCAAGGGCACCUUUCGGGAGCAGCACUUUGAUGUCAACUGCAACUUUCUCUAUCAUGAAGUUGACAAGGUGACCGAAAGGGAAAAGAUUGUGGUAAUGACUAAUAUUAAUCAGACUCGGGACCUCACAAGUGAGUUGAUUGGACGGCAGCGUCUACCAGAAGACCAGAUGAAAAAGGUAUUGCAGCUGAAGGACCUCAUCGAGAAGACAUUGGUGCUUGACCCUGCUAAACGGAUAUCCAUCAACCAAGCUCUUGCGCACCCUUUUAUUCAUGACAAGAUAUGAAAGGGUGCCAAUGGAACUGUUUAAGUGGUGUCAGUUACAAAUCAGUUGUUGCUACUGUUUGGCCAGUCUUGCAAUGUGGUUGUUUAUAGGAGCUGCCUCAUUUCAUUGAAAGCUAAAAAGAUCACCACCUAUCUUCUGACAGGUGGCACCAUCCCUGGCUGGACAGGCAUUGCUUCACACCAUGAUUGGUUACCGGUUGUACUAACUUGUGUUGGCUAUUACACCUGUGACUGACCAGGGAGGUUGAUCCAUGGAGAUGUUCAUUGAAGAAUGCGAAAAUAUGGCUGACAACCCCAUAUCGCCAAGGUAGAGGACACAGGGUGUCUGUAAUGUUCUGUGGCACUGCAGUAGGGUAUAGAUUUCUCUUACAUGCUGGUUUCCUCUUGAGCUUUUAGUGUGUUGUAAGCAGUUAUGUGGCCAUGUGCUAGCUCAAGGCAGUGCAGUAUUACGAUGUACUAUUUUUGCCUUGCAGCAUCAUAUCUUAGUUAUUUUUCAGAACUAUCCUAUGUUUAAUGGCUCUCGUAGUGAUUUGUAUGGUGGCAGGCAUUGUUCUUUAUUUUGAUCAGUUUGAAGAACGGGUGUAACAGCUCUUUCGUCCUUUUCUGUAUAGCUGUGGCUGCUGUAGGUCUAGCACCAUUGCAGCCUUCAGCUAAAAGUUUUGUUGGAUAGUUUCCUGCUCCUGCCCUUUCCUUUCCAGGCUGGCCUCAGCUGCCCUUGGAACUCGAUUCUUAUGGCAUAUUUUAAGAAUCCUGAAUGAAGGUAAGUAUAAUGGGUGUUAAACAUUAUCACAUGCAGGUGUAUUUUUUCAGUCAUCAGUGGAGCACUCCAAAAAAUAGAAUGUCUUUUGCAAGAAUUGCCUUUUGCAGGAACAUACAACAAAUAAGAUAUUAGCCAUUUUUGCGAGCAUGUUGGUUUCAUCCAAGAAUUCUUAUGCACCAGUGGAGACGAAAGAAAAUUCAGGAGAACUGAGAGCUUUCUCGGAUUUCAUCUGAUAAUCUGGACAGUGCUGCGAUAAUCACCUCUAAGAAGUGGUAUUGAAUUUCAACUUCAUGUGGUCUAACAGCAAUGCUGUGCAAAUUAAUGGAGGGGCAUUAGACUCACUUGUGUCUCCUAACUUGCUAGUUUAUUUGUGAAUUCAUUUGAGCAAAAAGCAUAGCUUUAUGGUGAUAUUUAGAUGUAUCACAUUAUUUGGUCUGGUGAUAAAGUAGCCUUUAAUACAUUUUUUUUUACAUCUUCAAUUGCCUACAUUAAGUUUACAUGCUACCAAUCUGUUAAUUUUUCGAUGUCAUCAUUUGUCAUAAGGAGGGCUGACCUGUAACUGAUUUCUAGAAACUAGAAGACAGAUGUCAGUGAUCACCUUCACAACCAGGGAGAAAUAGAAAUGCUACGUUACUAAAGUUGGCACUGGUAAUGGUAGUGGUUGGGGCCCAUUUGGAUAAAAGUUGAGCUCGAGUCUUCGACUCACAGCUUUGGCAGUGUACUUCCCACAUGAGCAGCGAGCAUGAGCUUAACGCACUGUCAAGGCUCUUGAGAUUGAGUCUAAGACUCGUACUCAACUUUUAUGCAAACGGGCCCAGAAAACGAAAAUGAUUGGCUAAUAUUGAAGUGUUGGUAAUGUCUAUUACUGUUACGCGGUGACUUGAGUGAUUUUUUACAUACCACAUGAGACCAUGGGAAGCGCAGCGUGCAAUAUUCAGGCGAUUCAGUGAAAGGUUCAAGCUAUGGAUGCAUCAUCCAUCGUUUGAUUGUCCCAGUCCACAUAACUCAUGAUGCAAAUCCGGCUAUUCUGUACAAAAUUUCCCCUGCUUCCGGAGACUGCACCCACUAUGACGUAGGCGUGACAUUCGUCUGCAAGGGAGGUGCUCACUUGCAGGCACCCUGCCCACUGGGCAAGGAGGACGGGGUAGCUGCUCCUGUAUUGCACUCCAGAGUGGGAUUGAGGCCAGAAUGAAGAGCAAUAAAAUGACAGCGUGUUGUGCGGUUCAUGAGCUAGAAGGAUUAGUGUGUUAAACUGAGAGACUCAGCAUCUAGUGGUGUCCAUUUUAUGACAGAGCUUACACUCUGCUUCCAUCCUUUUAUAGAAUAUUGGAAAUGACACUUUGUUUGUGUUAAUGCAUUGUUUAAUUACUUUUAAUGCAUAAACGCCUUUUGCCUUCAUUUCCAACGCCCACAGACUCUGUUACCUACACCUGUCACUUCCUGUGUGUACAAUCAUGUCUGCAUUUGAUGGUCAGGUCUUCUGUAAUCCCUCUCCCUAUGAGCUCUUCUUUUGAUUUAUUGACCUGGUGCUUCCUCACUCGUCUAAUUGGGUAUUGUGUGGUAUGUCCUCGGUUACCGGAUGAAGUGCAGACCACGUAUGAAGUAUCUGACAGUGUUCUCAGUAUCUUUGUCCAAGCCUGAGCAGGACUUUGAGGUUCCAGGGAGUUAAUAAAAUGUUCACAUGGAACGUGAGGUGUCUAUUCCCUGCACAAUCUGAGCCGUCGCGGCUUGUCUUGGCUUUUUCGCAGUCAUGUGCAUUGCCAAUUUAUCUGUGGUCGAAUACAUCCAGAGGGAAGCUCUAGAGACAACACUCAACUUUCCUCACUCGCAAGUUGCCAAAUCUUUGAGAACGAGGCCUCACAAUCGACCUCCUGCUAUGAAUCGCAAAACUCCAGGAAGGUGCGCACACAGCGAAUUGCAUCAAUCAAGAGAGAGGGUUGCCCCAAGAGCAUGAGUGGUAUCAGAGAACAUGGAAUGCCUUGUUCCACUACACACAGCAAGGCAACUCAUGGACAUUUCUUGCUAAAGAAAUUCUUGUGUGGCCAAAGCGGCCCUAUUUUGCAAUAAAAGAAAAGUCAUACGAG